AUGGAGCUCAACGUUCAGCUUCGUGCCUCUGAUGGUGACCCUCUCCCUAACCCCACUCGCUAUCGUCACCUUGUUGGCAGUCAUGUCUAUCUUGCUGUUACGCGUCCUGAUAUCUCCUAUCAUGUCCAUAUCCUGAGUCAGUUCGUUUCAGCCCCCACCUCUGUCCACUAUAGUCAUCUCCUCCGUGUUCUACGAUAUCUUCGUGGCACGCUCUCUCAGCGCCUUUUCUUUCCCCGCUCCAGCUCUCUUGAGCUCCAGGCCUACUCUGAUGCUACCUGGGCUAGUGAUCCCUCUGAUCGCCGCUCGUUGUCUGCUUACUGUGUCUUUCUUGGUGGCUCUCUUAUUGCGUGGAAGACAAAGAAACAGACUGCAGUUUCUCGCUCGAGUACAGAGGCUGAGUUGCGAGCCAUGGUUAUGCUGACGGCUGAGGUGAUCUGGUUACGGUGGUUACUUGAGGAUUUUGGUGUGUCUGCUACUACC
Molecule: ribosomal RNA, 480 nt
Filed under: Triticum aestivum (bread wheat)
Lineage: Eukaryota; Viridiplantae; Streptophyta; Magnoliopsida; Poales; Poaceae
Description: partial small subunit ribosomal RNA
Source: RNAcentral